CUUUAACUCCGGUUGAUCCUGCCGGACCCCACUGCUAUCGGGAUGGGACUAAGACAUGCUAGUCGUGUGUUUCCAAGCUAUGGUGGAGACACGGCGCACAGCUCAGUAACACGUGGCUAACCUACCCUUGGGACAGGGACAACCCCGGGAAACUGGGGCUAAUCCCUGAUAGGUGAAGACUCCUGGAAUGGGUCUUCACCCAAAGGACGUUUAGACCAUGCUUCUAGACGUCGCCCAAGGAUGGGGCCGCGGCCGAUCAGGUUGUUGGUGAGGUAACGGCUCACCAAGCCUAUAACCGGUACGGGCCGUGGGAGCGGGAGCCCGGAGAUGGGCACUGAGACAAGGGCCCAGGCCCUACGGGGCGCAGCAGUCGCGAAAACUCCGCAAUACGCGAAAGCGUGACGGGGCCAUCCCGAGUGCCAUCCGCUGAGGAUGGCUUUUCCCCAGUGUACACAACUGGGGGAAUAAGGAGAGGGCAAGCCUGGUGUCAGCCGCCGCGGUAAUACCAGCUCUCCGAGUGGUGGGGACGCUUAUUGGGCCUAAAGCAUCCGUAGCUGGCUGGGCAAGUCCCCCGUUAAAUCCAACGAUUCAAUCGUUGGACUGCGGGGGAUACUGUCCGGCUAGGGGGCGGGAGAGGCCGACGGUAUUCCCGGGGUAGGGGUGAAAUCCUAUAAUCCCGGGAAGACCACCAGUGGCGAAGGCUGUCGGCUAGAACGCGCCCGACGGUGAGGGAUGAAAGCUGGGGGAGCGAACCGGAUUAGAUACCCGGGUAGUCCCAGCUGUAA
This 785-nucleotide ribosomal RNA is filed under the name Candidatus Bathyarchaeota archaeon. RNAcentral describes it as "bacterial SSU rRNA". It matches the Rfam family "Archaeal small subunit ribosomal RNA", at positions 1 to 756 of the family's 1478-position model. Lineage: Archaea; Thermoproteati; Candidatus Bathyarchaeota. The record is from RNAcentral.